This 649-nucleotide unclassified non-coding RNA is filed under the name uncultured Prochlorococcus sp. Its description in RNAcentral is "partial may contain 16S ribosomal RNA, 16S-23S ribosomal RNA intergenic spacer, and 23S ribosomal RNA". The stretch from base 290 to 362 matches the Rfam family "tRNA". Lineage: Bacteria; Bacillati; Cyanobacteriota; Cyanophyceae; Synechococcales; Prochlorococcaceae. The record is from RNAcentral.
AGGACGCCGAAGGUGGGGCUAAUGACUGGGGUGAAGUCGUAACAAGGUAGCCGUACCGGAAGGUGCGGCUGGAUCACCUCCUAACAGGGAGACAACAAAAUGUUUGAUAUUAUUUUGUCACCUUAGGUCGAUCGGUAUCUCACGUUCUUAAUUUAAGAAUUUCAAUUCCUAAGUUUUUCUAGGUCACACCCAUUAUUUUUCCUGGGCCAUUAGCUCAGGCGGUUAGAGCGCACCCCUGAUAAGGGUGAGGUCCCUGGUUCAAGUCCAGGAUGGCCCAUAUCUCUAUGUUGGGGGUAUAGCUCAGUUGGUAGAGCGCCUGCUUUGCAAGCAGGAUGUCAGCGGUUCGAGUCCGCUUACCUCCACUGAUUACCACCUCUUCCAUAAUCUGUAGAAAGGAAAUGUUUUGAGCUGUGAUCAAAUCCUGAACGAAUCUAGCUUCCUAAUGAAAUCAUUAAGAUGCUGGACUCAUUGAAUUAAUUUCAUUGUUUUCAGAGAACCUUGACAACUGCAUAGAUUUUUUUUAAAGACAAUAAGCAUCUUUAAUGAUGCAGAUUUAUUAUUUGUGCGAAUGCAUUAAUAACAAUUCUAUUGAGCUGAUGCUUCAAUUUUUGAAGUUAUUGGUCAAGCUACAAAGGGCUCACGGAGGAUA